GUGCCAGCAGCCGCGGUAAUACAGAGGGUGCAAGCGUUAAUCGGAAUUACUGGGCGUAAAGCGCGCGUAGGUGGUUUGUUAAGUUGGAUGUGAAAUCCCCGGGCUCAACCUGGGAACUGCAUUCGANACUGACUGACUAGAGUAUGGUAGAGGGUGGUGGAAUUUCCUGUGUAGCGGUGAAAUGCGUAGAUAUAGGAAGGAACACCAGCGGCGAAGGCGACCACCUGGACUAAUACUGACACUGAGGUGCGAAAGCGUGGGGAGCAAACACGAUCAGAUACCGUGGUAGUCC
Molecule: ribosomal RNA, 292 nt
Filed under: uncultured microorganism
Description: partial 16S ribosomal RNA
Rfam family: Bacterial small subunit ribosomal RNA
Source: RNAcentral